CCUACGGGAGGCAGCAGUGGGGGAUAUUGCACAAUGGGGGGAACCCUGAUGCAGCGACGCCGCGUGGGUGAAGGAGUAUUUCGGUAUGUAAAGCCCUAUCGGCAGGGAAGAAAUUGGACGGUACCUGACUAAGAAGCCCCGGCUAACUACGUGCCAGCAGCCGCGGUAAUACGUAGGGGGCAAGCGUUAUCCGGAUUCACUGGGUGUAAAGGGAGCGUAGACGGCCAGGCAAGCCUGGAGUGAAAGCCCGGGGCCCAACCCCGGGACUGCUCUGGGAACUGUCCGGCUGGAGUGCGGGAGGGGCAGGCGGAAUUCCUGGUGUAGCGGUGAAAUGCGUAGAUAUCAGGAGGAACACCGGCGGCGAAGGCGGCCUGCUGGACCGCGACUGACGUUGAGGCUCGAAAGCGUGGGGAGCGAACAGGAUUAGAUACCCCGGUA
Molecule: ribosomal RNA, 438 nt
Filed under: uncultured bacterium
Lineage: Bacteria
Description: bacterial SSU rRNA
Rfam family: Bacterial small subunit ribosomal RNA
Source: RNAcentral